AGUGAACGCUGGCGGUAGGCCUAACACAUGCAAGUCGAACGGCAGCACAGUAAGAGCUUGCUCUUACGGGUGGCGAGUGGCGGCCGGGUGAGGAAUACAUCGGAAUCUACUUUUUCGUGGGGGAUAACGUAGGGAAACUUACGCUAAUACCGCAUACGACCUACGGGUGAAAGCAGGGGAUCUUCGGACCUUGCGCGAUUGAAUGAGCCGAUGUCGGAUUAGCUAGUUGGCGGGGUAAAGGCCCACCAAGGCCACGAUCCGUAGCUGGUCUGAGAGGAUGAUCAGCCACACUGGAACUGAGACACGGUCCAGACUCCUACGGGAGGCAGCAGUGGGGAAUAUUGGACAAGGGACGCAAGCCUGAUACAGCCAUACCGCGUGGGUGAAGAAGGCCUUCGGGUUGUAAAGCCCUUUUGGUGGGAAAGAAAAGCAGCAGGUUAAUACCCCGAUGUUCUGACGGUACCCAAAGAAUAAGCACCGGCUAACUUCGUG
RNAcentral lists this ribosomal RNA (492 nucleotides) under uncultured bacterium. Its description in RNAcentral is "partial 16S ribosomal RNA". It matches the Rfam family "Bacterial small subunit ribosomal RNA", at positions 29 to 507 of the family's 1533-position model. The record is from RNAcentral.